GAUGAACGCUGGCGGCGUGCCUAAUACAUGCAAGUAGAACGCUGAAGGAAGGAGCUUGCUCUUUCCGGAUGAGUUGCGAACGGGUGAGUAACGCGUAGGUAACCUGCCUGGUAGCGGGGGAUAACUAUUGGAAACGAUAGCUAAUACCGCAUAACAGUAGAUGUUGCAUGAUAUCUACUUAAAAGGUGCAAUUGCACCACUACCAGAUGGACCUGGGUUGUAUUAGCUAGUUGGUGAGGUAACGGCUCACCAAGGCGACGAUACAUAGCCGAGCUGAGAGGGUGAUCGGCCACACUGGGACUGGGACCAGGCUCAGGCUCCUAAGGGGAGGAACAAUAGGGGAUCUUCGGCAAAGGGCGGAAGGCUGGCCGAGCAACGGCGCGGGGGUGGAGGAGGUUCUCGGGUCGUAAAGCUCUGUUGUAAGGGGAGAACGAGUGUGAGAGUGGAAAGUUCACGCUGUGACGGUAUCUAAACAGAAAGCGACGGCUAACUACGUG
RNAcentral lists this ribosomal RNA (497 nucleotides) under uncultured bacterium. Its description in RNAcentral is "partial 16S ribosomal RNA". It matches the Rfam family "Bacterial small subunit ribosomal RNA", at positions 28 to 507 of the family's 1533-position model. The record is from RNAcentral.